GCAUCGAUGAAGAACGCAGCGAAAUGCGAUACGUAGUGUGAAUUGCAGAAUUCCGUGAACCAUCGAAUCUUUGAAUGCAUAUUGCGCCUGGUGCCCCGUUUGGUGGCACCAGACAUGUCUGCCUCAGCGUCGUGAUGGACCCUUGGGCCUCCUUAUUUAUAAGGUUGGCACAGAUCUGGCUUUCUCAGUGAUUAAUUAAUGGCGCAAGCCUGUUGUCGCUGGGUUCGCUGAAGCUCAGAGACUCGAUUCAAGGACCCAUACCAAAGGGACAAUAGCUGGUUAGGCUUUCAAUUAAGCUACUUGCUGGUGUCCUGGGACUUUGAAUAUACAGAGUCAGCAGGAAAACAAUCAUCUUUUUGACCUGAGUUCAGGCAAGGCUACCCGCUGAACUUAAGCAUAUCAAUAAGCGGAGGA
This 414-nucleotide ribosomal RNA is filed under the name uncultured fungus. RNAcentral's name for it is "eukaryotic LSU rRNA". The stretch from base 1 to 132 matches the Rfam family "5.8S ribosomal RNA", at positions 30 to 154 of the family's 154-position model. Lineage: Eukaryota; Fungi. The record is from RNAcentral.